CCCUUAGAUGUUCUGAACCGCACGCGUGUUACACUGAUGCAUUCAACGAGCCUUACCUUGGCCGAGAGGCCUGGGAAAUCUUUUUAGCAUGCAUCGUGAUAGGGAUUGAUUAUUGCAAUUAUUAAUCAUGAACGAGGAAUUCCUAGUAAACGCAUUUCAUCAAAAUGCAUUGAUUACGUCCCUGCCCUUUGUACACACCGCCCGUCGCACCUACCGAUUGAGUGGUCCGGUGAAGUCUCGAGAUUGUGGCAAUCUCCUUUAUUGGAGUUUGACUGCGAGAACUUGCCUAAACCUUAUCACUUAGAGGAAGGUGAAGUCGUAACA
This 324-nucleotide ribosomal RNA is filed under the name uncultured eukaryote. RNAcentral describes it as "partial 18S ribosomal RNA". It matches the Rfam family "Eukaryotic small subunit ribosomal RNA", at positions 1470 to 1796 of the family's 1831-position model. The record is from RNAcentral.